AGCCACAAGGAAAGUACAGUGCCAAGCCCGGGAUCGGCGCUGGGUGCGUGACAGGAAGGACGGAUCUCGGCAGAGGUCGAGGCCGAACAAUCCGAGUCCAGGUGCAGACGAUUCUCCCUGAUGGAAUUACAGGAACCUUACGGGAACCGCGGCUUUCAGAUGUAUCAGCCUGGAGAACUCCAGCGAUCCCAAUCUCGGGUCGUUACCGGAAUGAUCAACGCUUAGGGUUCCAGUAUCACCUCGCAGAACGAAGGAGGAUCUCCGGGCGAGCCACAUGUAUUAAAUUGUAAAUGAGGCUUUGUCCAAUAAACCGGGUUUUUGGUGUAACAGAUAUGUGUGUGUGUCGGGGGGGUGGGGGUGGGGUGGAGGGUGUGGGGGCAGCUCUCAUUGCUGGCGUGUUCUUUGCAAUAAAAUUAUCCAUAUCAAAUUGUAAGAGAAGGGUGACCUAUUUGUUCGAUGCAGCUGCAGAUGGUAAUUUGUUUCAAGGAUAUAAUGUAAGGAAGUUUGUUUUUACAGCGGUAAUAGGCAAUAGGCUGUGAAUUGCUGGUAACACGCAUUCCUAAGCUUUUACAGCAGUAGUAGGCAAUAGGCUUUGCAUUGCUUAACUGAUAACACGCAUUUCUAAGAUAACACGUAUUCUUGAGACUGUGAGAAUCCCCAGAUCAAAGGACACCUGUGAGGAAGACAACCAGCCUUCAUCCCACGACCACCAGGAGGCAGAAAACGACCACCUAGCAACAGAAUGCGACUGCGCAGAAGAAACGAGUGAACUAAGGAAGAAGAUAAAAAGAGCGAACUAGGGCACCAGAAGCGCGGCAGUUUGGUGGAGCGGUAGCUCCCCUCUGUCGCCGCAGCGCUGCUUUGCUUUGCUCUCAUAUACUCUAUUAAAUGAAUUAAAUAAAUUCUGUUAAUUGGA
Lonchura striata (white-rumped munia) is the source of this 916-nucleotide non-coding RNA. NCBI's taxonomy places the organism in Eukaryota, Metazoa, Chordata, Aves, Passeriformes, Estrildidae. The record is from RefSeq and is a predicted model, not a curated record.